AUGAACGCUGGCGGCAUGCCUUACACAUGCAAGUCGAACGGCAGCGCGGGAGCAAUCCUGGCGGCGAGUGGCGAACGGGUGAGUAAUACAUCGGAACAUGUCCAGUAGUGGGGGAUAGCCCGGCGAAAGCCGGAUUAAUACCGCAUACGAUCUACGGAUGAAAGCGGGGGAUCUUCGGACCUCGCGCUAUUGGGGUGGCCGAUGGCGGAUUAGCUAGUUGGUGGGGUAAAGGCCUACCAAGGCGACGAUCCGUAGCUGGUCUGAGAGGACGACCAGCCACACUGGGACUGAGACACGGCCCAGACCCCUACGGGAGGCAGCAGUGGGGAAUUUUGGACAAUGGGCGAAAGCCUGAUCCAGCAAUGCCGCGUGUGUGAAGAAGGCCUUCGGGUUGUAAAGCACUUUUGUCCGGAAAGAAAUCCUGAUGGCUAAUAUCCGUCGGGGAUGACGGUACCGGAAGAAUAAGCACCGGCUAACUACGUGCCAGCAGCCGCGGUAAUACGUAGGGUGCAAGCGUUAAUCGGAAUUACUGGGCGUAAAGCGUGCGCAG
Molecule: ribosomal RNA, 550 nt
Filed under: uncultured bacterium
Lineage: Bacteria
Description: bacterial SSU rRNA
Rfam family: Bacterial small subunit ribosomal RNA
Source: RNAcentral